GGGUGCGUAACGCGUAUAGAACCUACCUUUUACAGAGGAAUAGCCUUUAGAAAUGAAGAUUAAUGCCUCAUAGUAUUGAGUAUUCGCAUGAAUAUUUAAUUAAAGAUUUAUCGGUAAAAGAUGGCUAUGCGUCCUAUUAGUUAGUUGGUAAGGUAACGGCUUACCAAGACAGCGAUAGGUAGGGGUCCUGAGAGGGAGAUCCCCCACACUGGUACUGAGACACGGACCAGACUCCUACGGGAGGCAGCAGUGAGGAAUAUUGGACAAUGGAGGAGACUCUGAUCCAGCCAUGCCGCGUGUAGGAAGAAUGCCCUAUGGGUUGUAAACUACUUUUAUACAGGAAGAAACACUGGUAUGUAUACCAGCUUGACGGUACUGUAAGAAUAAGGACCGGC
Molecule: ribosomal RNA, 395 nt
Filed under: uncultured Polaribacter sp.
Lineage: Bacteria; Pseudomonadati; Bacteroidota; Flavobacteriia; Flavobacteriales; Flavobacteriaceae
Description: bacterial SSU rRNA
Rfam family: Bacterial small subunit ribosomal RNA
Source: RNAcentral